This is a non-coding RNA of Cyanistes caeruleus (blue tit), 1328 nucleotides long. NCBI's taxonomy places the organism in Eukaryota, Metazoa, Chordata, Aves, Passeriformes, Paridae. The record is from RefSeq and is a predicted model, not a curated record.
CAUAAUUUUUUACAAAUAUCAGAAAAAUCUUGAAUAAGCAUAGAAGGAAUAAUUACUUAUAUUUGUCUAAAGCUGCAUUAGCACUGCUCUCAAUGAGUUCUACCUCUCUUGAGCAGGGAAGAGGACUGAGAGCAGAAAUGAGGCCUUGAUGGAGAAGAAACAUCUGAGAAAAGGAUGAGGCUGGAUUUUACAAAAUCCUCAUCUAAGAUCCCAGGAGGUUGCCAAGUCUCUCCAUUCAAUCGUAACCCUGAGCUGAGUAUCCACAGAAGUACGUUAAUUACAUGCAGGAAACUGUUCAACAACCCCAAGCCUCAUCAUGAUCUGAAAUUCUUCAGAAUCAAACCAGCCAAGGAGCCAGCAGGGCUCAUUGAUAGAACUUUAGCUUGGAAGGGGAAAAGUGGUAAAAUGGGCUCAGCAGUGAUGAGCAAAGGGGUGGUGUGACAAAACCUGAGGAAAUGACCAUUAAGAAGACCCUUUAAUCUGUUUCACAAGGUGUUAGCUACAAUGUACCAUACCUUAAAUAUUUCUACACUAAUGCAAAGAGCAUGAUGAACAUAUAACAGGAUCUCUGGGUCUUGGCUCAGUCCCAGAAAUUUGACAUUAUUGCCACAAGUGAAACCUGGUGGGAUGAGUCCUGUGUGACUGGAGUGGCCUGUUGGAUGGUUAAAAGCUCUUUGGAAAGGAUAGGAAGGGCAAAGAGUCAUUGUGGAAAUCUACCGCAGACCUUCUAGCCAGGCCAAUGAGACUGAUUAGUUAUUCUUUGAGGAAUCAAGGGAUACUUCCAAGGAAAAUGCUCUUUUUCUUAUGGAGGACUUCAGCUUGCCAGAAAUUGUGAGCAUCAAACAGCUGGUAUAAGCCGAGCCGGAAGACUCCAAAAAAGGCUGAGUGACAAUUUUAUGGAACAGGUCCUUAGGGAGUCAACUUGGAAACAUGCCCUCCUUGAUCUACUGCUUUACAAAAGAGAGGAUCUUGGAAACCGUGUGGAGAUUGGCAGUCAUCUCAGCCACAGCAAUCAUGAAACAAUAGAGUUCAAAAUCUCUUGUCACAGGAUGAAAAGUGCCAGCAAAACCUCAGCUCUGGGUGUGGGGAGAACAGACUUCAGUCUGCACGGGGAAUAAGUAAAGGUCCCUGGGAAAAUGUUUUUGCAGGUAUUGGGGUCAAUCAGUGAUGGUCACUUUUUAAACAUCACUUCUGAAGGGCACAGAAGCAGGCAAUUCCCAAAUGUCAGAAGUCAAGUAGGCAAGGAUGGUGUAUGCCCAGUGGAAGCAAGGUCAGGUGACAUGGGAACAGUACAGACAUGUUGCUUGCUGCUGCAGGGGAAAAAGUCA